RNAcentral lists this non-coding RNA (23 nucleotides) under Cricetulus griseus (Chinese hamster). Lineage: Eukaryota; Metazoa; Chordata; Mammalia; Rodentia; Cricetidae. The record is from RNAcentral.
ACUAUGUGACCAUCAUUGAUGCC